CAGUAGACCAACUCGGCGUGUUAGCCCGG
This 29-nucleotide small RNA is filed under the name Bombyx mori (domestic silkworm). RNAcentral's name for it is "ovarian small RNA-2569". The record is from RNAcentral. Lineage: Eukaryota; Metazoa; Arthropoda; Insecta; Lepidoptera; Bombycidae.